RNAcentral lists this ribosomal RNA (253 nucleotides) under uncultured bacterium. RNAcentral describes it as "partial 16S ribosomal RNA". It matches the Rfam family "Bacterial small subunit ribosomal RNA", at positions 524 to 776 of the family's 1533-position model. The record is from RNAcentral.
UACAGAGGUGGCAAGCGUUGUUCGGAAUUACUGGGCGUAAAGGGCGCGUAGGCGGCUUGGUCAGUCCCGUGUGAAAUCCCUCGGCUCAACUGAGGAACUGCACGGGAAACUGCCUGGCUUGAGUUCGGGAGAGGGAAGCGGAAUUCCGGGUGUAGCGGUGAAAUGCGUAGAUAUCAGGAGGAACACCGGUGGCGAAGGCGGUUCUCUGGGAAUAUCCUGACGCUGAGGAGCGAAAGUGUGGGGAGCGAACAGG